This 100-nucleotide ribosomal RNA is filed under the name Campylobacter jejuni. RNAcentral describes it as "partial 16S ribosomal RNA". It matches the Rfam family "Bacterial small subunit ribosomal RNA", at positions 1 to 95 of the family's 1533-position model. Lineage: Bacteria; Pseudomonadati; Campylobacterota; Epsilonproteobacteria; Campylobacterales; Campylobacteraceae. The record is from RNAcentral.
AUUAUGGAGAGUUUGAUCCUGGCUCAGAGUGAACGCUGGCGGCGUGCCUAAUACAUGCAAGUCGAACGAUGAAGCUUCUAGCUUGCUAGAAGUGGAUUAG